CCCUGGAUAGCUCAGUUGGUAGAGCUUCAGACUUUUAAUUUGAAAAUUCAGGGUUCAAGUUCCUGUUCAGGUG
This is a non-coding RNA of Alligator sinensis (Chinese alligator), 73 nucleotides long. NCBI's taxonomy places the organism in Eukaryota, Metazoa, Chordata, Crocodylia, Alligatoridae. The record is from the annotation of a RefSeq genome assembly.